Molecule: long non-coding RNA, 975 nt
Organism: Pygocentrus nattereri (red-bellied piranha)
Lineage: Eukaryota; Metazoa; Chordata; Actinopteri; Characiformes; Serrasalmidae
Exons: 6
Source: RefSeq, a predicted model, not a curated record
UUUAAAACGGCUCCUUUAAGGCCUGUGACUUUAUUAGCGAGAAGGACGUAUUCUCGUUUGUUUUGUCCCAAGGUUGCGAUAUCUUAUUUCUAAACUUACAUUUAAACAAGCUUAAAUGUGCUUCGACGAUUCUGAUUGGACCGCUGGGAAAAAUUGACACCAGGCCACUAGCUCAGCCACCUCCUUCCUGUACGCUGUCUCGUCCCCACCAGUGAUCAUUCCAACGACUGUAGUAUCAUGAGCAAACCUGAUGCUGGUGCUGUUCUGGGAGGCCACACAGUCAUAAGUGAAGUGUGUACAGAAGGGGACUCGGUACACAGCCCUGGGGGACCCCUGUGCUCACUGUUCUUGUGCUGGAUGUGCAGCUGCUGGCUCUGACUGACUGGGGUCUACCUGUUAGAAAGUUCAGCACCCAGGUACAGAUGGCGGGUGUCAGUCCGAGGGUGUGUGGGGGCUGUGUGGAGGGCAGCGUUCACUGCGUCAUCUGUGGACUUAUGCAAACUGAAGAGGGACUGUAGUGUUUGGAAUGGUCUCCUGGAUAUCUGAAGAAUAUAGUAGCAGCAGACAGAAAAACUAACCAGGAGCAACAGCCGUUGGAAGUGAGACGCAGAUUAGAUAGCCAAGGGCUACCCUCAGAUGACCGAGGCAGGCACAGUCAUGUUUUGGCUUUGGACAUCAGUGGAAGAUGAUGUCCAGGAAGACAUUGUGCAGCCCUGGAAGACGGUGGCAGCGACAAUUCAGAGUGCCGUGGAUCGGUCUUAGAGGCCAGAGGCAGGGGCAGUCUGGAUAGUCAAGAUUGGAAAUUUGAACCAGACUUGAAGCUGAUUUCACAAGAGAUCCGCAAGAGAGAGAGAGGGAGAGAGAAAUGCUGACGUUUUACAAAAGGCAUAUUUGCUGGGCUCGUCCAUUUUCAGUCAUCCUCAGGGGAACUGCUGACACACUCCAGCCACAUGAGGUCUAGCGUUGUCCUGCAUU